AAAAUACAAAAUAACCAAAAUCCAUAACCAAUUGAGUCCUAUCCUAACAAACCUUAUCUCAACAAAAUCACACCUCACCACCCUGUUCCUACCCCACCUCGCUACCCUACCCUUACCCAUGUUUUUGUCCAACCGAAAUACAUAUACGGCUACAGAAUUGAAAAGAAGGGGAAGGGGGGCCCACAUGAUAUUCCUUUUUCGUCUUUCUUUCCAAAUGGAUAAGGGGGACUUUUUUUGCUUGGGCUAUCAUCACAAAGAAUAAAAUAUAUAUACACCAUUGCACACAAUUUUCAUUUUGGGGAUGGGGGAGGGAGGGACCCGCAGGGAACACAAUAUUCUCUCCGUUCUUUAUAUAUAUCACACACAGGCCCUCCUCAUCAGAGAGUAACAACAAUACCCUCACACUGACCUCACCAUCACACACCCAUAUACACUACACACUCUUAAUUCUACCGGGAUACACACAGAAACGGAUAGAUAAGAGAUGACGUGAGAAAGAGAGAGCUGUUAGAGAGUGAGAAAGAAAUCUGUGAGAGAGUGACAGAGAUUUAUGAGAGAGGGAGAGAUUCGCGAUUGAAAUCGAAAGAGAAUGAUGGCAAAGCAGUUUUCGGUGAGUGAGAGCUUGAGGAACACGAGUUUGGAGGUUUGAUUACUGUUCCGGGGAUAGGCUCGCCGGAAUAGCGUCUAGCUAUCGUAAAUUUGUUCAAAACCCAACGAAUACGUCUCAACUGAUAUAUCUUUGUCAUUUUGGUCAUAGCAGAAGUUUAUUGGGGUUACAACAACACAAAAUUAUCAAACAAACCUCGAUCUGCUUUUGAUUCCGUCCAAACCCGUUGGAAUUGGGCCGGAUUUCUCUUAUUUCUCAUGAUUUUUUGUUCGAGGUUGUGUGGGUUUGUGAGAAUCUAGUCCAGGUCUCUUUGUUUUUGUGAUUCUCAGUUUCGAGUUGGAUGAGUUCAUUUGUUUGAGGUUCGGUUCGAGGUUUCUGGGCGUGGAUUCUCUUUAUUCGAAUAACAUUGAAUUUGAAAGCUACGAAUCAAGUUUUGAUUUUGAUUUCAAGAGGCCGCCUGAAGAAUAGGGUGAUGGAACUGCAAGUUAGGAGCCCGCCUGAAGAACAGGGUGAUGAAGCUGUAAGUCAGGAGCCUGCCUGAAGAACAGAGUGAUGAACUUGAAAGACAAAUAUGGCAAGUUAGAAGCCCGCCUGUAGAGCAGGGCGAAUAAAUAAAAGUCCAGCAACAUGGUGAAAAAGUUGAAAGUCAAGCGACAAGGUGAAAAAAUUAAAAGUUAAACAGUUGAUGAAAUAGCAAGUGAGGAACCUGCCUGAAGAACAAGGUGAAGAAAUUAAAAACCAAGCAACAAGUUGAAGAAAUUGCAAGUCAGGAGCCCACCUGAAGAACAGGGUGAUGAAACUCAAGUCAAAAGUCCAAAAGAUUUUGUAAUUUCAUUUAUAUUUUUAACUUGUAAUUUUCAUUUUUGAUGUAAUGAUAGAUCCGCAGACCGGAGCCUCGACGGGACCUCACUCGACUCUCCAACUCGGUAGUCUUUCUACCUUCUAUUUCUUUCUUUGAAUAAUGUUCGGGUCAAAAUUUGAUCUCAUUGUCUACUUCUUUGUCUGAAAACACUUCGUGUUUACAUUCAAAGGGGGCAUGAUGUAGAUACCUAAUUUUGUCCCUCCCGAAUUUAAUUUUACCCAUUUUUUAACUUACCUUACCAUGAACCCUCAACCAUGUACUUAUCCCCCCAAAAAAUACAAAAAUAACCAAAAUCCAUAACCAAUUGAGUCAUAUCCUAACAAACCUUAUCUCAACAAAAUCACACCUCACCACCCUGCCCCUACCCCACCUCGCUACCCUACCCCCUAACCCAUUUUUUUGUCCAACAAAAAUACAUUUACGGCUACAGAAUUGAAAAGAAGAGGGAAGGGGGCCCACAUGAUAUUCCUUUUUAGUUUUUCUUUCCAAAUGGAUUAGGGGGGCCUUUUUUGCUUGGGACAUCAUCACAAAGAAUAAAAUAUAUAUACACCAUUGCACACAAUUUUCAUUUUUAGGGGGGAGGGACUCGCAGAGAACACAAUAUUCUCUCCAGUCUUUAUAUAUAUCACACACAGGCCCUCCUCAUCAGAGAGUAACAACAAUACCCUCACAGUAAUAUCACUGUCACACACCCAUAUACACUACACACUCUUAAUUUUACCAGGAUACACACAGAAAUAGAUAGAUAAGAGAUGACGUGAGAAAGAGAGAGCUACAAGAAAGUGACACAGAUCUAUGAGAGAGAUAUCUACGAGAGAGUGAUAGAGAUUUACGAGAGAGAGAGAUCUACGAUUGAAAUCGAAAGAGAACAAUGGCAAAGCAGUUUUCGGCGAGUGAGAGCUUGAGGAACACAAGUUUUGUGGUUUGAUUACUGUUCCGGCGACAGGCUCGCCGGAAUUGCGUCUAGCUAUCAUAAAUUCAUUCAAAACCCAUUGAAUACGUCUCAACUGAUAUCUAUUUGUCGUUUUGGUCAUAGCUGAAGUUUACCGGGGUUACAACGACACAAAAUUAUCAAACAAACCUCGAUCUACUUUUGAUUCGGUCCAAACCCAUUGGAAUCGGGCUGGAUUUCUCUUAUUUCUAAUGAUUUUUAGUUCGAGGUUGUGUACGUUCGUGAGAAUUUGGUCCAGGUCUCUUUGUUUCUAUGAUUCUCAAUUUUGAGUUAGAUGAGUUCGUUUGUUUGAGGUUCGGUUCAAGGUUUCCGAGUGCGGAUUCUCUUUAUUCGAAUAACAUUGAGUUUGAAAGCUACAAAUCGAGGUCCAAUUUUAUUA
Long non-coding RNA from Capsicum annuum, 2800 nucleotides. RefSeq lists it as uncharacterized. The transcript has 2 exons. NCBI's taxonomy places the organism in Eukaryota, Viridiplantae, Streptophyta, Magnoliopsida, Solanales, Solanaceae. The record is from RefSeq and is a predicted model, not a curated record.